UACGUAGGGUGCGAGCGUUAAUCGGAAUUACUGGGCGUAAAGCGUGCGCAGGCGGUUGUGCAAGACGGAUGUGAAAUCCCCGGGCUUAACCUGGGAAUUGCAUUCGUGACUGCACGGCUAGAGUGUGUCAGAGGGGGGUAGAAUUCCACGUGUAGCAGUGAAAUGCGUAGAUAUGUGGAGGAAUACCGAUGGCGAAGGCAGCCCCCUGGGAUAACACUGACGCUCAUGCACGAAAGCGUGGGGAGCAAACAGG
RNAcentral lists this ribosomal RNA (253 nucleotides) under uncultured bacterium. RNAcentral describes it as "partial 16S ribosomal RNA". It matches the Rfam family "Bacterial small subunit ribosomal RNA", at positions 524 to 776 of the family's 1533-position model. The record is from RNAcentral.